AGUGAACGCUGGCGGUAGGCUUAACACAUGCCAGUCGAACGGCAGCACAGUAAGAGCUUGCUCUUACGGGUGGCGAGUGGCGGACGGGUGAGGAAUAUAUCGGAAUCUACUUUUUCGUGGGGGAUCACGUAGGGAAACUUACGCUAAUACCGCAUACGAUCUACGGGUGAAAGCAGGGGAUCUUCGGACCUUGCGCGAUUGAAUGAGCCGAUGUCGGAUUAGCUAGUUGGCGGGGUAAAGGCCCACCAAGGCGACGAUCCGUAGCUGGUCUGAGAGGAUGAUCAGCCGCACUGGAGCUGGGACACGGUCCAGGCUCCUACGGGAGGCAGCAGUGGGGAAUGUUGGGCAAUGGGCGCAAGCCUGAUCCAACCAUACCGCGUGGGUGAAAGAGGCCUUCGGGUUGUGAAGCCCUUUUGUUGGGAAAGAAAAGCAGCAGCUUAUUACCCCGCUGUUCUGACGGUACCCAGUAAAUAAGCACCGGCUAACUUCGUG
Molecule: ribosomal RNA, 492 nt
Filed under: uncultured bacterium
Lineage: Bacteria
Description: partial 16S ribosomal RNA
Rfam family: Bacterial small subunit ribosomal RNA
Source: RNAcentral